Molecule: ribosomal RNA, 127 nt
Filed under: uncultured bacterium
Lineage: Bacteria
Description: partial 16S ribosomal RNA
Rfam family: Bacterial small subunit ribosomal RNA
Source: RNAcentral
UGGGGAAUAUUGCACAAUGGGCGAAAGCCUGAUGCAGCAACGCCGCGUGAGCGAUGAAGGCCUUCGGGUCGUAAAGCUCUGUCCUAAAGGAAGAAUUUUUGACGGUACUUUAGGAGGAAGCCCCGGC